This is an RNA transcript of Rhododendron vialii, 1126 nucleotides long. RefSeq lists it as uncharacterized. The record is from RefSeq and is a predicted model, not a curated record. Lineage: Eukaryota; Viridiplantae; Streptophyta; Magnoliopsida; Ericales; Ericaceae. The transcript is spliced from 2 exons.
AUACACACACACACACCCUACCCUUCAGAUGAGGACAUCCUCACAAUCCUAAAAUACGGACGUUGGUUUUCGGCCGUUGGAUGAGAUCCAAUGGCUGUGAUUUUAAAAGCCAUCUCGCGGGUACAAACAAGGCAUGGGUCGGGUAAGGGAAAGCUCGCAGGUCAAGUUGUUCCGGUCAAGCAAAUGCGGGUUAUAAUCUCUCCUUUCCUGGAGUCGUUCAAACGAAGAGAGAAGAGGAGACGACAGACGACGAAACAAAGAAGACGACACGACGAAACAAAGAAGAGGACGACACCACCGAUGGGAAAAACUCCAGGAUGAUUUUGGAACUCGUGACAAGAUGGAGAUGAGUAAUUUGUGUAGGAGAGAGAGAGAGAGACUUGUGCAUGAGUGUAUAUAACUUGUGUAGCAGAAAGUCUACACACACAUACACUUUGUGUACAGAUUGUGCACAGAUUUUAUUGUGGGGCCCACCACGGGUCCCACACGAAUCAUCCGAGCCAUUCAUUAAAUGUAAAACACUUUUUCAAGGGACCUCAUAAAAAAUAAGCUCAAUCCGAUACCUAUAAGUGCUCGAUCCAACCACAUAACUUUUCAUUAACCGGAAAUCUGAAUGAAAAGUUAGAUGGUUGGAUGAAGCACCUAUAGGUAUUGGAUUGAGCCUAUUUUUUACGGGGACCUUUGAAAAACUGUUUUACAUUUAAUGAACGGCUCGGAUGAUUUGUGUGAGACCCGUGAUGGGCCCCACAAAAAAAUCUGUGCACAAUCUGUGCACAGACUGCUGUGUGUGUAGCACAUUUGGAACCAGUACUGGAUUUUUAUUGGCAAACAACAGUGUACAAGGGUAAGUAAUUCUAGUAGGAUUUGAAAUUAUGCUUUUCACAACCAAUGUAAGGAAGCUCUAGAGCUGUAUGGCAGAAUGGAGGCCUCGAAUUCAAAAGGCACCCGGGAGUCAUUUGCGAGAUGGGGGAUCUUUGAGUCGCAGGAUGGGAUUGGAGUAUGACUCCAAGCAAUUCAGUUUCUUGUUUGUAGCAUUCACUUCCACCCGAUUGGUAACGGCAGUAGUAGUCAAAGUGUGGAGAGGCGGUUAGAUUUUGGUUAUAAAUAAUAAUGAAUUUUUGGGGUU